ACCAAACUCUGGCAAGAGUGUGGGCUUGGUCGCCCGGAUUCCGGGUGACCAAGCCCACACUCUUGCCAGAGUUUGGUGGG
Molecule: microRNA precursor, 80 nt
Filed under: Ixodes scapularis (black-legged tick)
Lineage: Eukaryota; Metazoa; Arthropoda; Arachnida; Ixodida; Ixodidae
Description: microRNA mir-286
Rfam family: mir-286 microRNA precursor family
Source: RNAcentral